UAAAAAAUUUAUAUGGAGUUGGAAUAGCUCCCCUUCGUUUGCCUCUAGGGGCGCUGUUCAAACUCCAUACAUAUUUGAGCUA
This 82-nucleotide microRNA precursor is filed under the name Bombyx mori (domestic silkworm). RNAcentral's name for it is "mir-2807 microRNA precursor family". It matches the Rfam family "mir-2807 microRNA precursor family". The record is from Rfam by way of RNAcentral. Lineage: Eukaryota; Metazoa; Arthropoda; Insecta; Lepidoptera; Bombycidae.